RNAcentral lists this ribosomal RNA (497 nucleotides) under uncultured bacterium. Its description in RNAcentral is "partial 16S ribosomal RNA". It matches the Rfam family "Bacterial small subunit ribosomal RNA", at positions 28 to 507 of the family's 1533-position model. The record is from RNAcentral.
GAUGAACGCUGGCGGCGUGCCUAAUACAUGCAAGUCGAGCGAACGGACGAGAAGCUUGCUCCUCUGAUGUUAGCGGCGGACGGGUGAGUAACACGUGGAUAACCUACCUAUAAGACUGGGAUAACUUCGGGAAACCGGAGCUAAUACCGGAUGAUAUUUUGAACCGCAUGGUUCAAAAGUGAAAGACGGUUUUGCUGUCACUUAUAGAUGGAUCCGCGCCGCAUUAGCUAGUUGGUAAGGUAACGGCUUACCAAGGCAACGAUGCAUAGCCGACCUGAGAGGGUGAUCGGCCACACUGGAACUGAGACACGGUCCAGACUCCUACGGGAGGCAGCAGUAGGGAAUCUUCCGCAAUGGGCGAAAGCCUGACGGAGCAACGCCGCGUGAGUGAUGAAGGUCUUCGGAUCGUAAAACUCUGUUAUUAGGGAAGAACAUAUGUGUAAGUAACUGUGCACGUCUUGACGGUACCUAAUCAGAAAGCCACGGCUAACUACGUG